RNAcentral lists this ribosomal RNA (443 nucleotides) under Rhinocheilus lecontei (longnose snake). Its description in RNAcentral is "partial 16S ribosomal RNA". It matches the Rfam family "Bacterial large subunit ribosomal RNA", at positions 1856 to 2608 of the family's 2925-position model. The record is from RNAcentral. Lineage: Eukaryota; Metazoa; Chordata; Lepidosauria; Squamata; Colubridae.
CGCCUGCCCAGUGAACAAUUAAACGGCCGCGGUACCCUAACCGUGCAAAGGUAGCAUAAUCAUUUGUCUACUAAUUAUAGACCUGUAUGAAGGGCAAAAUGAGGGUCUAACUGUCUCUUAUAAUAAAUCAAUUAAACUGAUCUCCUAGUAAAAAAGCUAGAAUAAUACCAUAAGACCAGAAGACCCUGUGAAGCUUAAAUCAAACUACUAAAUCACAUAGUAAUUACUUUCGGUUGGGGCGACCUUGGAAAAAAAUAGAACUUCCAAGACCCAGUACAACUGACAAUUGAACCAAGUUACUCCAGGGAUAACAGCGCAAUCUUCUUCAAGAGCCCAUAUCAAAAAGAAGGUUUACGACCUCGAUGUUGGAUCAGGACAUCCUAAUGGUGCAGCCGCUAUUAAGGGUUCGUUUGUUCAACGAUUAACAGUCCUACGUGAUCUGA